Molecule: ribosomal RNA, 497 nt
Filed under: uncultured bacterium
Lineage: Bacteria
Description: partial 16S ribosomal RNA
Rfam family: Bacterial small subunit ribosomal RNA
Source: RNAcentral
GAUGAACGCUGGCGGCGUGCCUAAUACAUGCAAGUAGAGCGAACAGACGAGGAGCUUGCUCCUCUGACGUUAGCGGCGGACGGGUGAGUAACACGUGGAUAACCUACCUAUAAGACUGGGAUAACUUCGGGAAACCGGAGCUAAUACCGGAUAAUAUAUUGAACCGCAUGGUUCAAUAGUGAAAGACGGUUUUGCUGUCACUUAUAGAUGGAUCCGCGCCGCAUUAGCUAGUUGGUAAGGUAACGGCUUACCAAGGCGACGAUGCGUAGCCGACCUGAGAGGGUGAUCGGCCACACUGGAACUGAGACACGGUCCAGACUCCUACGGGAGGCAGCAGUAGGGAAUCUUCCGCAAUGGGCGAAAGCCUGACGGAGCAACGCCGCGUGAGUGAUGAAGGUCUUCGGAUCGUAAAACUCUGUUAUUAGGGAAGAACAAAUGUGUAAGUAACUAUGCACGUCUUGACGGUACCUAAUCAGAAAGCCACGGCUAACUACGUG